GCUGUGACUGACUGAAAAUGAAACCUUUUUGUUUUCAAGAAGGCUAUCAGGUGGAGGUUAAUUUUAAAGUUUGUCUCUCCUGCUCAAUAUAUUGAACUUUAAUUACAUGCGGGAGCAGAAAAAAAAGGAAAUUCUAAAUUAAACAAUUUUCAGUAAAUGAAAUGUAAACAUUAGAUCACAGUACAGGAGGAAGUGUUUAUACAGCCCUAGCCACACCUCCCUAAACAAAGUGAUUUAACUAAUAAAUGGCAGAGAAAAAGCAGUGAGACUGCAGGGGAUGAUGUAUACAACAAAACUGCCUCAUUAAGCUAAAGAUGUUGCGGUGACUAUAGUGUCCCUUUUAAAGAACAUUACAUGUGGAUAUAAUCAACAUGUGUCCAGUGAUCUAAAUGGUCUUUGUGACUGCAGCCAGGAUUAUUUGUAUGAAUUUAGAGUUUUUCUGCUUGGGGUUCAGGGAAAUAAAUUGAGUCCGCAUGCUCCUAGGGACAGGUGCCUUCUAAUAUUUAAUGAGCAAAUGUAGUCACAUACUCAGAAUUUAAACUGCUCUUUGAAUUCUCACUUUAGUUAACCCUAAUAACAAGCAUUGUGUUGCUACAUUGAUACAAUGCCCCUAUACAGUCAGACCUUGCAUUUAUUGGGAUAUGUAAGAAGAUUUGGCUAUGCCUAGAAAUUGAGGUUAUGAAGGAUGGAGCAUUGCCAUUGAAGGUGCUGUUUUUGACCUGAUUGUUUUUCCGUGGCUUUGGCUAAAUGGUGCGAAAGGAGAAAACUGUUGUGCUUAGGUGACAUCCGUGUAUGAGUUAUUGUUCGUCCAGUCGGGCGCAUUUCCAUAGUGUGUGGCAAGACUACUCAUAAAGGUUAUGGAGACUGGAGAGUAAACAUCUAGGUAAAACCUGGGAUACUGCAAUUUUGCUAUGGCUAUUCCAGGAGUCUUACGCUGCCAAGAAAGCAGGAUAUGAGUUUACAGACUUGUUUGUGAACUCUUAUGUACUAGGUCUGGGUGUGAAGAUUAUAGAAUUAGAAGAUACACCUUUCCAGAUUAUGUUAGGAUGUCACGAGAAGCCCACAUAAGUUGUUAAAUCAUCCACAAACCGUUUGAUUGCUCAUAAAGGGAGGGCAUAAUGGUAUUCCUGACACCAUAACUACCACAGUGGUUUGUAAUGGUGCUUGGAGUAGUCCUUUGCUGAAUUUUAAAGGGACACUAGAGUCAUCAAAACGUUUGCUUAAUAAUGCAGUUUUGGUGUAAAGGUCAUGCCCCUGUAGUCUCACUGUUCAAUUCUCUGCUAUUAAGGAGUUGGAUUACUUUGUUUAUGCAGCCCUAGUUACACCUCUGCACAUGAUUUCAUAAAGACUAUGUAAAGUGAGAUCUAAUGUCUAAACUUCCUUUAUUGCACAUUGUUUAAUUUAGAAUUCAUGAUCAUGCUUUAAUAGUCUUCUAGACCCUACAGAAGCCUUCUGUGUGAUUAAAGUUAAAUCCACAGAGCAGGAGAUAAAAACCUCUAAAGUAAGUGAACAUCUGACUGAAGAACUUAACGGUUUCAUGCAGGCUGUGUGACUCACUGCCAUUGGAGGUGUGGCUAGGGCUGCAUGG
Molecule: non-coding RNA, 1588 nt
Organism: Pelobates cultripes (western spadefoot toad)
Lineage: Eukaryota; Metazoa; Chordata; Amphibia; Anura; Pelobatidae
Source: the annotation of a GenBank genome assembly